AUUGAACGCUGGCGGCGUGCUUAACACAUGCAAGUCGAUCGGUAACAGGUGUAGCAAUACAUGCUGACGAGAGGCGGACGGGUGAGUAAUGCUUGGGAAUCUGCCUAUUAGUGGGGGACGAACCCGGGGAAACGUACGGGCUAAUACCGCAUACGCUCUACGGAGGAAAGCCGGGGACCGCAAGGCCUGGCGCUAAUAGAUGAGCCCAAGUCGGAUUAGCUAGUUGGUAGGGUAACGGCCUACCAAGGCGACAAUCCGUAGCUGGUCUGAGAGGACGACCAGCCACACCGGAACUGAGACACGGUCCGGACUCCUACGGGAGGCAGCAGUGGGGAAUAUUGGACAAUGGGGGCAACCCUGAUCCAGCGACGCCGCGUGGGUGAAGAAGGCCUGCGGGUUGUAAAGCCCUUUCGGGUGGGGAAGAAAAGUCUCGACCUAAUACGUCGGGACCUUGACGUAACCCACUAAAGAAGCACCGGCUAACUCUGUGCCAGCCG
RNAcentral lists this ribosomal RNA (497 nucleotides) under uncultured bacterium. RNAcentral's name for it is "bacterial SSU rRNA". It matches the Rfam family "Bacterial small subunit ribosomal RNA", at positions 29 to 514 of the family's 1533-position model. The record is from RNAcentral.